ACCAACAGGGAUUGCCCCAGUAACGGCGAGUGAAGCGGCAAGAGCUCAAAUUUGAAAGCUGGCUCCUUCGGGGUCCGCAUUGUAAUUUGUAGAGGAUGCUUCGGGAGCGGUCCCCAUCUAAGUGCCCUGGAACGGGACGUCAUAGAGGGUGAGAAUCCCGUAUGGGAUGGGGUGUCCGCGCCCGUGUGAAGCUCCUUCGACGAGUCGAGUUGUUUGGGAAUGCAGCUCUAAAUGGGUGGUAAAUUUCAUCUAAAGCUAAAUAUUGGCCGGAGACCGAUAGCGCACAAGUAGAGUGAUCGAAAGAUGAAAAGCACUUUGAAAAGAGAGUUAAAAAGCACGUGAAAUUGUUGAAAGGGAAGCGCUUGCGACCAGACUCGCUCGCGGGGUUCAGCCGGCAUUCGUGCCGGUGUACUUCCCCGCGGGCGGGCCAGCGUCGGUUUGGGCGGUCGGUCAAAGGCCCUCGGAAGGUAACGCCCCUAGGGGCGUCUUAUAGCCGAGGGUGCAAUGCGACCUGCCUAG
This 519-nucleotide ribosomal RNA is filed under the name Penicillium chrysogenum. RNAcentral's name for it is "partial large subunit ribosomal RNA". It matches the Rfam family "Eukaryotic large subunit ribosomal RNA", at positions 64 to 587 of the family's 3401-position model. Lineage: Eukaryota; Fungi; Ascomycota; Eurotiomycetes; Eurotiales; Aspergillaceae. The record is from RNAcentral.